Molecule: ribosomal RNA, 325 nt
Filed under: uncultured eukaryote
Lineage: Eukaryota
Description: partial 18S ribosomal RNA
Rfam family: Eukaryotic small subunit ribosomal RNA
Source: RNAcentral
CCCUUAGAUGUUCUGGGCCGCACGCGCGCUACACUGAUGCAUUCAACGAGCCUAUCCUUGACCGACAGGUCCGGGUAAUCUUUGAAUCUGCAUCGUGACGGGGAUAGAUUAUUGCAAUUAUUAAUCUUCAACGAGGAGUGCCUAGUAGGCACAAGUCAUCAGCUUGCGUCGAUUACGUCCCUGCCCUUUGUACACACCGCCCGUCGCUCCUACCGAUUGGGUGUGCUGGUGAAAUGUUCGGAUCGGCCGUUUGUCGCGGUUUCCGCGUUAUGUGGCUGAGAAGUUCAUUAAACCCUCCCACCUAGAGGAAGGAGAAGUCGUAACA